Molecule: ribosomal RNA, 586 nt
Filed under: uncultured bacterium
Lineage: Bacteria
Description: partial 16S ribosomal RNA
Rfam family: Bacterial small subunit ribosomal RNA
Source: RNAcentral
UGGGGAAUUUUGGACAAUGGGCGAAAGCCUGAUCCAGCAAUGCCGCGUGUGUGAAGAAGGCCUUCGGGUUGUAAAGCACUUUUGUCCGGAAAGAAAUCCUUGGCUCUAAUACAGUCGGGGGAUGACGGUACCGGAAGAAUAAGCACCGGCUAACUACGUGCCAGCAGCCGCGGUAAUACGUAGGGUGCAAGCGUUAAUCGGAAUUACUGGGCGUAAAGCGUGCGCAGGCGGUUUGCUAAGACCGAUGUGAAAUCCCCGGGCUCAACCUGGGAACUGCAUUGGUGACUGGCAGGCUAGAGUAUGGCAGAGGGGGGUAGAAUUCCACGUGUAGCAGUGAAAUGCGUAGAGAUGUGGAGGAAUACCGAUGGCGAAGGCAGCCCCCUGGGCCAAUACUGACGCUCAUGCACGAAAGCGUGGGGAGCAAACAGGAUUAGAUACCCUGGUAGUCCACGCCCUAAACGAUGUCAACUAGUUGUUGGGGAUUCAUUUCCUUAGUAACGUAGCUAACGCGUGAAGUUGACCGCCUGGGGAGUACGGUCGCAAGAUUAAAACCUCAAAGGAAUUGACGGGGUCAUAGCUGUUUCCU